UUGCAUCGAUUGGAGAACGCAGCAAAAUGCGAUACCUGGUGUGAAUUGCAGAAUCCCGCGAACCAUCGAGUUUUUGAACGCAAGUUACACCGAAGGGCCUUUCCUCGGCCGAGGGCAGGUCUGCCUGGGGCGUCACGCCAAAAGACACUCCCAACCCAUCGAGGGGGAGGGAGGUGGUGUUUGGUCCCCCGUGCGCAGGGCGCGGUGGGCCGAAGUUUGGGGCUUGCCGGCAAAUCGUGUCGGGCACAGCACGUGGUGGGCGACACUCAGUUGUUCUCGGUGCAGCGCCCCGGCACGCGGCCGGCGCAUCGGCCCUAAGGACCCAUGGAGCACCGCAGCGCAUAGCCGCUCGGACCGCGACCCCAGGUCAGUCGGGACUACCCGCUGAGUUUAAGCAUAUCAUAAUCGGGAGGAAAU
Molecule: ribosomal RNA, 417 nt
Filed under: Saccharum robustum
Lineage: Eukaryota; Viridiplantae; Streptophyta; Magnoliopsida; Poales; Poaceae
Description: eukaryotic LSU rRNA
Rfam family: 5.8S ribosomal RNA (bases 1-135)
Source: RNAcentral